Long non-coding RNA from Telopea speciosissima, 140 nucleotides. RefSeq lists it as uncharacterized. Lineage: Eukaryota; Viridiplantae; Streptophyta; Magnoliopsida; Proteales; Proteaceae. The record is from RefSeq and is a predicted model, not a curated record. The transcript is spliced from 3 exons.
CUACAACUUCUCUUCAAAGCAAGGAGACUUUGUGAGAGGUGGUGUUUAUGGUGAGAACUUGGUUUGGCUUCUUGUGAGGUAAUCCCUAUUGUAUUGUCUCCAAUUGCUUGUACAUCUCAAGUUUAGAAGAGACACUUGAG